GCACCUAUUUUGAAUGGGAGUCUGUAUAAAUUAGCCUAUGUUCCUUCACGUGUAAAACUUUUUUUGUGGAUUGAUUAACAGGAAUACUGAUGAGAAACCAGGCUGGUGCAGUAAUCCACGUUGGCCUCCUUGUGCAGCUUUUGUUGAAAUAAUGGCUCCUGUGUUCUCUCGAGAAGCAUGGCGAUGUGUUUGGCAUAUGAUUCAGAAU
This 208-nucleotide unclassified non-coding RNA is filed under the name Hevea brasiliensis (rubber tree). The record is from RNAcentral. Lineage: Eukaryota; Viridiplantae; Streptophyta; Magnoliopsida; Malpighiales; Euphorbiaceae.